UUGCCGGCCUGGCCCUUGUGCCCAUCAUUGUUGCUCGGACACGGGUGCCAGCCAAAAAGUUGGAGUGAAAAGACCCUGGCACCCGCCCGACACCUGCGUGAGCCCUAGGAUCCAGGUCAUCCCUCACCUCUGACCCAGCUCCAUGCCAGAGCAGGAGCCCUGGUCGGUUUUGGACUCUGCACCCGCUCUCCUCUUCAGGGGCCAGACUUGGUAGCAUGUGCACCAGCUCUUUUUUUAGGCUUCUGCCACCACAAAAUGUUACUUGGAAAACUAGAUCCCAGCAGAUGACCUGUACUUCUCUGUUCUCUCCCCUACUGCAAAGAGGCAGCGAGGGCAGCAUUAGUAAGCCUGACUCAGGGGAAGUAAGUAGCCUGCAGAGAAAGGGUCCUAGGUCCGCAACCGAGGCGAGUGAACUUGUCGGACAGAUGAAGACUCUAACUGGAAGAAACGAUCAGCGCAUUCAUGGAUGCACCACCAUCCAGAAAUCUCCCAGUGGCUUCCAUACAAAAACUGAUGUUUCUAAAGAUGGAAAGAACAGGUCUAGGAGGCAGGAGAGUAUCUCCUGGCAGUGUUCUGUAGCUCAAAGAUCAGGAGCACGUCUUUGAAUUCCUCGCAGACGAUGUAUCCAUCAGUCCUGUGGGGACACAACGUGAUGUCAACCCUCAAGCCUGCUGCCUGCUCUGCCUCUCCUCCCUCCCGUUUGCGGAAGACAGUGGGCCACAUCUGAGCACCAGGGGUCCUGAAGGAUGUCCCGGGUCAGCCAGUGUCCCACACCCUCUGUGCAGAAGGGAGGCCUGUGGAAACUGGCACUGCCUCUUCCUCCCCAGAUUCUGCUUAAGAAAGCUGGGGUGAAAGCCCCUAUCCAGCCUCGCCCAUCACAGAA
This 883-nucleotide small RNA is filed under the name Pongo abelii (Sumatran orangutan). RNAcentral describes it as "processed transcript". Lineage: Eukaryota; Metazoa; Chordata; Mammalia; Primates; Hominidae. The record is from RNAcentral.